RNAcentral lists this ribosomal RNA (649 nucleotides) under uncultured bacterium. RNAcentral describes it as "bacterial SSU rRNA". It matches the Rfam family "Bacterial small subunit ribosomal RNA", at positions 8 to 638 of the family's 1533-position model. The record is from RNAcentral.
AGAGUUUGAUCCUGGCUCAGGACGAACGCUGGCGGCGUGCUUAACACAUGCAAGUCGAACGAACGGAGGAGAGCUUGCUCUCCAAUGUUAGUGGCGGACGGGUGCGUAACACGUGAGCAACUUGUCCUUCGGUGGGGGAUAGCCGGCCCAACGGCCGGGUAAUACCGCGUAUUACAUCGUUAUCGCAUGGUGAUGAUGUGAAAGUGGCCGCAAGGUCGCGCCGGAGGAGGGGCUCGCGGCGUAUCAGCUUGUUGGUGGGGUAACGGCCUACCAAGGCGACGACGCGUAGCUGGUCUGAGAGGAUGAUCAGCCACAUUGGGACUGAGAUACGGCCCAGACUCCUACGGGAGGCAGCAGUGGGGAAUAUUGCGCAAUGGCCGAAAGGCUGACGCAGCGACGCCGUGUGUGGGAUGAAGGCUUUCGGGUUGUAAACCACUGUCAGGAGGGACGAAUACUCGGCUUCGAAUAGUUGACCGAGGGUGACGGUACCUCCAAAGGAAGCACCGGCUAACUCCGUGCCAGCAGCCGCGGUAAUACGGAGGGUGCGAGCGUUGUCCGGAUUCACUGGGCGUAAAGCGCGCGUAGGCGGCUUUGUAAGUCAUCUGUGAAAUCCCGGGGCUCAACUCCGGGGCUGCAGGUGAUACUGCAG